GUAAGUUCAGAGGGUCAACAAUACGAAAUCGCGAAUUAUUUUCCAGAUGGAGUCACCGGAGUCACAGGUGACACGAUGCACGGUGUGCUGUACCGACCAUCAUUGUCCCCUUUGCCCCACUUCAAUAUACAAGCCCCGGUGUAGGGCAAAGGUUUGGCAGCACAUGGAGGUGCAUGUAAAGAAUGCCAUUCAACAUGAAGAUUUCUUCAUAACAAAAUGCCACCAGGCCUGCAGGAGUGGAAGCAGUGAUCACUUUCACUGCCCUUUCUGCCUCAAGACCACAAUAAAAAGGCAGGCUAUACUGAGGCAUUUGCAGAUCUGUAGGCCACCUCUCCAUGACGCUCAGUUGGACACUGAGGCAGACUGCAGAGAGAUGGGCAUCAAUUCCCAGACAGAGGAGUGCAAAGUGGGGUCUGUGAACCUACCUCAUCUCAGCACCGACAAACUGCCUGUACUGGUGAGUAUAUGUGUGUCUGUUUGUAAAGAAAACUGUGUGUGUGUGUGUGUGUGUGUGUGUGUGUGUGUCAGGUACAUGCUAGUGAAAUACAAGGACAAAGAGACCCAGCAGAGAGACAAGAAGGCAAGAAGGAGGGAGAGAGACCCUCCUUGUCAUUCAGUCCUAACCUGGACAACCCUCCCUGCAGAGUAACAGGAAGAAUCCUUUUACUGUCCAUCCCAGCUAUCAUUUUUGGGCACCUUGGAUUGGGCGAGGCACACAAAGGUCCAACACUGUGCUAAACACAGUUUUUAAAAGCUCAAGGUCCAAGAAACUCAGCAGAGGCAGAUGACAUCAAUAUUACUGAAGACAGACUCUCAAAUGAAUUGAUGAAUUUGAAGCUGGACGCAGUGCGCUCUGUAAGGAAUGUGGUGUCGACUCUUGCGGUUCUAAGAUAGAUAGAAGACAGCUUACGUUGGAAGAGGAAGGCGGGGUGAGCUGCGGCCGGGGGAUAUAUUCUGAGGACCCCCACCCUGGAUUCUGCAGCCAUUUCUGCCAACUAAUGGCAGGAUUUCCUGAGGAGGGAUAACAAGGAUCUGCACACAGAAGAAUACAAAAAUAAACAUGUUACACUC
RNA transcript from Perca fluviatilis (European perch), 1071 nucleotides. RefSeq lists it as uncharacterized. The transcript is spliced from 6 exons. The record is from RefSeq and is a predicted model, not a curated record. Lineage: Eukaryota; Metazoa; Chordata; Actinopteri; Perciformes; Percidae.